RNAcentral lists this ribosomal RNA (620 nucleotides) under uncultured cyanobacterium. RNAcentral describes it as "bacterial SSU rRNA". It matches the Rfam family "Bacterial small subunit ribosomal RNA", at positions 126 to 776 of the family's 1533-position model. Lineage: Bacteria; Bacillati; Cyanobacteriota. The record is from RNAcentral.
CUGCCCUUAGGAGAAGAAUAACUACUGGAAACGGUUGCUAACUCUUCAUAUACCGAGAGGUGAAAUAGUUUUGGCUGCCUAGGGAUGAGCUCACGCCUGAUCAGCUAGUUGGUAAGGUAAUGGCUUACCAAGGCCACGAUCAGUAGCUGGUUUGAGAGAACGAUCAGCCACACUGGGACUGAGACACGGCCCAGACUCCUCCGGGAGGCAGCAGUGAGGAAUUUUCCGCAAUGGGCGAAAGCCUGACGGAGCAAUACCGCGUGAGGGAUGAAGGAUUUUGGUCUGUAAACCUCUUUUCUCAAGAAAGAAGUUCUGACGGUACUUGAGGAAUAAGCAUUGGCUAACUCCGUGCCAGCAGCCGCGGUAAUACGGGGGAUGCAAGCGUUAUCCGAAAUCAUUGGGCGUAAAGCGCCUGUAGGUUGUUUAGUAAGUCCGUUGUUAAAGCCUAGGGCUUAACCCUAGAACAGCAAUGGAAACUACUAGACUAGAGUAUGGUAGGGGUAGAGGGAAUUUCUAGUGUAGCGGUGAAAUGCGUAGAUAUUAGAAAGAACACCAGUGGCGAAAGCGCUCUACUGGACCAUCACUGACACUCAGAGGCGAAAGCUAGGGUAGCAAAAGGG